This 587-nucleotide long non-coding RNA is filed under the name Populus trichocarpa (black cottonwood). RNAcentral describes it as "long non-coding RNA (PTRI_LNC000114)". The record is from RNAcentral. Lineage: Eukaryota; Viridiplantae; Streptophyta; Magnoliopsida; Malpighiales; Salicaceae.
GAAAUUAGGUAUUUGCAAGUCGUCGUCUUUGUCAAACCAAAAUAAAUUUUGAGUAGAAUUUGGUAUGUAGAGGCUAUCAAUAAAAAGAGAAAGGAAAGAAGAAGACAAAAAAGAAGAGAUGGCGUUAAAGCAAAGCUUGCAAUUGGAAGAGUGGAAGGAAAAUGGAGGAAGAAAAACUAUGGAAAAGGAUCACCUUCAAUAUUUCAACAUCUUCAUGGUAGACUUACUCAAACAAAAUGGCCUCGGAUUCAUUAUGUUAUCACCGGUUCUAGGCAAAUCCAUGUAAAGAAACGCAUCAAUGGCGGGUGUCAUGUGACAUGAUGCAUGCUAUGCAGACUUUUGUUUAAUUAGCUUGGCCCAUGUCAUCUUCUUCUUUCUUUCGUUAGUCUUUUCUUCAGGCAAGCUUGGCCCAAGUUGUCCCAUGUCCACUUCUUUCAAAAGACGGGCAAAGCAUGGCUGAUGUACAGUGUACAUACGUCCACCUAGUACCACCAUAGUAAACAGCAACCUUAUUAAUUUCCUUCUUCUAAAUUAAAUGGCGCGGAUGUAUCAUUGUAGCUCAAUUCUGAGUAAAAUUAAAUCAUGAU